UGGUCGUAGGUUCAAGGUGGUUAGAGCGCACGCCUGAUAAGCGUGAGGUCGGUGGUUCGAGUCCACUCGUGCCCAU
Molecule: transfer RNA, 76 nt
Filed under: Streptococcus pneumoniae
Lineage: Bacteria; Bacillati; Bacillota; Bacilli; Lactobacillales; Streptococcaceae
Description: tRNA-Ile(gat)
Rfam family: tRNA
About the family: Transfer RNA (tRNA) molecules are approximately 80 nucleotides in length. Their secondary structure includes four short double-helical elements and three loops (D, anti-codon, and T loops). Further hydrogen bonds mediate the characteristic L-shaped molecular structure. tRNAs have two regions of fundamental functional importance: the anti-codon, which is responsible for specific mRNA codon recognition, and the 3' end, to which the tRNAs corresponding amino acid is attached (by aminoacyl-tRNA synthetases). tRNAs cope with the degeneracy of the genetic code in two manners: having more than one tRNA (with a specific anti-codon) for a particular amino acid; and 'wobble' base-pairing, i.e. permitting non-standard base-pairing at the 3rd anti-codon position.
Source: RNAcentral